AACGAACGCUGGCGGCAGGCUUAACACAUGCAAGUCGAACGAGAUCUUCGGAUCUAGUGGCAGACGGGUGAGGAACACGUGGGAACAUCCCCUUCAGUUCGGAAUAACGUUGGGAAACUAACGCUAAUACCGGAUACGUCCUUCGGGAGAAAGAUUUAUCGCUGAAAGAUUGGCCCGCGUCUGAUUAGCUAGUUGGUGAGGUAAUGGCUCACCAAGGCUACGAUCAGUAGCUGAUCUGAGAGGAUGAUCAGCCACAUUGGGACUGAGACACGGCCCAAACUCCUACGGGAGGCAGCAGUGGGGAAUAUUGGACAAUGGGCGCAAGCCUGAUCCAGCCAUGCCGCGUGAGUGAUGACGGCCUUCGGGUUGUAAAGCUCUUUUGUCCGGGAAGAUAAUGACUGUACCGGAAGAAUAAGCCCCGGCAAACUUCGUGCCAGCCGCCGCAGUA
This 448-nucleotide ribosomal RNA is filed under the name uncultured bacterium. RNAcentral describes it as "partial 16S ribosomal RNA". It matches the Rfam family "Bacterial small subunit ribosomal RNA", at positions 29 to 522 of the family's 1533-position model. The record is from RNAcentral.